GACGAACGCUGGCGGCGUGCUUAACACAUGCAAGUCGAACGGAAAGGCCCCUUUUGGGUUGCUCGCUCGGCGGACGGACGGGUAACACAUAAGUAACCUGCCCUUCCCUUCGUGUUAACUUCCUGAAACUGGGUCUAAUACCUACUAGGAAUCCUUGCUUCAUGGUGGGGGUGGGAAGGCUUCUGGGGGUUUGGAGGGACUGGCGGGUUAUCUGCUUGUUGGUGGGGGGGGGGCUUACCAAGGCUUUCACGGGUGGCCGGCCUGAGAGGGCGACCGGCCACAUUGGGACUGAGAUACGGCCCAGACUCCUACGGGGGGGAGGAGUGGGGAAUAUUGCACAAUGGGCGGAAGCCCGAUGGAGCAACGCCGCGGGCGGGAUGACGGCCUUCGGGUUGGAAACCGCUUUCAGCAGGGGCGAAGCUUGUGGUGACGGUACCUGCAGAAGAAGCACCGGCUAACUACGUG
Molecule: ribosomal RNA, 465 nt
Filed under: uncultured bacterium
Lineage: Bacteria
Description: partial 16S ribosomal RNA
Rfam family: Bacterial small subunit ribosomal RNA
Source: RNAcentral